CAAUAGCGUAUAUUAAUGUUGUUGCAGUUAAAAAGCUCGUAGUUGAAUUUCUGGUUAAAAUAUUAGCUGGCCUCGGUCGUUAAUAUUUUAAUCAUCCGUUAGAGAACUAUAGCCGUCCUUAAUUGGUCACUAUAGAGAUCUAACAUUUUACUUUGAAAAAUUAGAGUGUUCAAGGCAGGCAAUCGUCAUGAAUACUAUAGCAUGGAAUAAUGGAAUAGGACUUUGGUUCAUUUUAUUGGUUAUUGAACCUUAGUAAUGAUUAACAGGGACAGUUGGGGGCAUUAGUAUUUAAUUGUCAGAGGUGAAAUUCUUGGAUUUAUGAAAGACGAACUUCUGCGAAAGCAUUUGCCAAGGAUGUUUUCAUUAAUCAAGAACGAAAGUUGGGGGCUCGAAGAUGAUCAGAUACCAU
RNAcentral lists this ribosomal RNA (409 nucleotides) under uncultured eukaryote. RNAcentral describes it as "SSU rRNA". It matches the Rfam family "Eukaryotic small subunit ribosomal RNA", at positions 592 to 1018 of the family's 1831-position model. The record is from RNAcentral.